Non-coding RNA from Salvelinus sp. IW2-2015, 2110 nucleotides. NCBI's taxonomy places the organism in Eukaryota, Metazoa, Chordata, Actinopteri, Salmoniformes, Salmonidae. The record is from RefSeq and is a predicted model, not a curated record.
GUGGAAUAAGUCAAGAGGUUUAUACUUUCUGAAGGCCUGUCAUUUGGCCACGUUUCAGCCUCCUGGCAGAGACACUUGUGUGCGUGGUCAAAGAGCUCUAUGUUCAUGUCACCCAACAAAUAUAAAUGUCUGGAGUUGGCUAAACGGCACUGGCACUUGGAUUGGAACCUGUGCUAUGGUCCGAAGACAUGAAAAUACCAUCAUUUCACAACGAAUUAAAACUUAAUUUYCCAACUAAAAGGUUGCUUGCCAGUUCUGCUUAUCGUGAUCAUUACUUUCGGCACGGCYUCGACAUCUCACGUCUGUGAUCUACAUGGGUGUCAGAUUUAAGUCAAUUCGCUCAUUGAUUUACAUUAAUUAAAUCGGCCCCUAAUUAUGAGCGCUGUGUCCUGGGGUUAGGCCGUCGGACGCAGUUGACAUUUAGCUGGCGAAGCUCUGGUGUUGCCCUGAGCCAGUAGUAUUGACAGACAGAGCCAGACGUGCUGUGGGGAGAGAAAGCUGAGGGAUUAGAUUGUGUGUGUGCACAUGUGUGCGUGCUUGUGUGCAUGUCUGUGGAACAAGUGAACUUUGCCUCAAAACACCCAGUAGAGAGAGACGCUUAUUGCUGUAGUAGAGGAGCUGAAUUAGUGGUUCACCUCUCAACCAAGGCCCUGGCACUGAUUGUAAUGAGAGAGGGAGAAAGAGGGGGUARAUUAAAGGGAUUGUUCGUCCCCAAAACAAGCCAGACAUUUUCCUAAAGGUGUGUAUCUGCCUUCAAUUCCAAAUAAAUUGUAUCAAUUUCUUAUAUGUUGUUAUUGGCAAUUGGGAUUAGGAAAGGUAUCAUCAUUUUGAGUGCGGUCGGACCACCAUUGCAUUUGAUGUUUUACUUUUGGUCUACGCACCACCGCAUGUUCAGGGGACAGACGUUUAAAGUAUUUUGAACCAGGAACGGACUGGGACCAGAAAUCGGCCCAGGAAUUUCUUACACACCAGACAAUUUGUUUCCUUGAGGACCAUAUUUAUUAACCAAAUAAUGAUACAACUCACCCCAUUGGACUAAAGAUGGACCAGUCCUUUUCUGUUUGGAACUGUUGCUGUAGGUCCAGGGAAGGAGGAGUGUAUCCAGUGUGCCAGAGAUCACCUGCAGCAAGAGUGGAGGUGUGUUCAGACCUGCGCCCCAGGAUACUACUCAACAGAGGAUGCUGGCUACCACCAGGGGAUGUGUCACAAGUGUGAGGAGAAUUGCCUGAGUUGCGACGGCCCCGGACGACCUGUGUCAAGUGCAAAGACAGCUACACCUCGUCAGCAGGACGUGCAUGGUGAACGCCACUGUAACAAUGCCGACGAGGUGUUUUGUGAGAUGGUAAAGUCCAACCGGCUGUGUGAGAAGAAGCUGUUCCGGCAGUUCUGCUGCAGAACCUGUCUGAUGACCGGUUGAGAAUCCUAGUAGAGAACCUGGAGAGGAACCSUGCGUGGAACCCACCACUUCCUCAUCCACUGUUCGUUUCCAAACUAGCUAAUGUUUGUGUCUGAAUGAAAAGAAAGAAUGAAUAGGCCUUCACCAGGGUUGGGGUCAAUUCCAUUUUCCUCAACGCGUUCCUGAAUCCARUGAAUUGAYAUGGAAUUGACCCCAACCCUGGAACACACACUAUUCCUCCCAUCAAUUUUACCCCACAAAGGGUAGACUUGAUUUUCAUACGAUAUAUACAGUAUUUUAAAGUUGUCUUUUUUAUUUAAAAAACAACAUACAUUAUGUAACAUGUAUAUUUUUUAUUCUAAUGCUGCAUUGUUGUAAAGUACAGUACUUUUUCGACUACACAUGUUAGUCGAUAACUCUCUGAUUGAACCACUGUUUUUUUGGAAGUGAAUUGGUCACCUGAAUAGUAUGAGCUGGUUGAUAAAGAAACAGCAUCACUCAAAAUGGGGAUCGUAUUUAUAAGGCACCAAAUGGAAUAAGACAAACUGAAACAUGAAGGGACUACUUGAACUUUUCUGUUUUCUGUUGUGUGCCCUACGGAAUACGACCCGGWUCAACUUUUUCAUACUUAAGAUACAAACUUCCUCACAAAAAAUGGUUUAUUCUGUAUAAGGUUUUUCGUUUUUUUUAAUAAAAAAUGUGUAAAACAAUGAA